Papaver somniferum (opium poppy) is the source of this 2770-nucleotide long non-coding RNA. RefSeq lists it as uncharacterized. The record is from RefSeq and is a predicted model, not a curated record. The transcript is spliced from 4 exons. Lineage: Eukaryota; Viridiplantae; Streptophyta; Magnoliopsida; Ranunculales; Papaveraceae.
UCGAACCUUUGGAGAAAAAACGUAACGCAUAUUUGAAACCAGUCCUUUCAAUUUCUCUUCCGAUUAACUCACCGCAAUGAAUGUUUCGAUAACUGUAACUCGAUCCAAUGAAUGUUUCGUUGACUGUAACAGAUAUGAGAUUUCAAAAUGGUUUCUUCUUUUUAGGCUUUCGGUUAGAUUCACUUCUGCAACCAAAACCUCCCAGCUUUUAGAUGAUGCAAACUCAAUGGAAGCAACUCCUUUCUAUAUAAGUUGGUACACCAAUUCCUGGUGGUCUAUUAUUUUAGCUAAUGAAGGUAUGUUCCAAAGUAUUGUCUUGGAUUUCUUGUCAAUAUGCAAGAUGGUUAGUAUUUUCUUGGCUUUUGAGAUAUGGGUUCUCUUUAGUUGAUUAUAGGUGUUUUCGAAUUGGGGUUGUGUUAAUUUUCAUUAAAAUCUGCUUAAUCAUGUACAUGGCAGAGGAAGUUGUUAAUUUACACCACCACUUUCAGUCAUGUAUUGAUGGUCAUCCUCUGCACCAUCCUUUCAGUCCUUUGCUCACUUCAUCCUCUUAUUCCUGGACUAAAAACCAUAAGACACCAAACCAACUGAUCUUAAUUGAUAUACACACCCGUCAACCAUAAGACAUGCCUAAGAAGGAUCCUGUAUAUAUACUACUGACCUUCCACUUCACUGUUCUUACACCCUGAAAUGCAGGUAAAUUAUUGUGUCCAAAUUUUGUUGGGUUGUUCAUCUGAUGUCGCAGAUUGUACAUGAUUUGUUAAUAGAUUUGGUGUAUUUUUUUCCGUUUAACAUUCUGAUGCCCUAAUACUAGAUUACAGUUCAGCUGCAGAGGUUUUGAUACCCCACAAUAACAGAAACAUUGUAGACUAAUAUAAUGUUUUUUACAUGUUCAACAAAAAUGUCCCAUCCAGAACACAAAUUAAUCUACGGAAACUUCAGCAUUUAUCAGGUUAGGUAGAUCAGUGGCAUAUAUCAUACUCUGUUAAUUAAGAAAUGAUGAAAUGCUUACAUGUCCAGGAAAAAUACAGUUUGCUACCGGACUCUUGCCAGAAUUGGUUGGUGGACAGGAUAAUGUGGAGCUCAAGAUGGCUUUAGCGUCAAAAGGGUGAAUGAGGAAACAUGUACAAAAUCUAAAUUUGGUUCAGUGGUUAUUGUUAUAUGGUUUUUGGAUUGUUAAUUCUUGCUGCUUUAAUAGCUGUCAUUUAUUAGCAAAAAACCAGUGACGCGGUAUUCAGGAGGCACAAGGCCAUUUUCUGGGGGGUAGUUAGAGACACUAGCUUUUGCUAUCUUUCAAGCCACACUCUCUUUUUUAUAAGAAUUUACAAGUUCUGUUAAAUAAAAGGAAGUGGUUUUCUUAAUGUAUUCUUCCCGACCAACCAUGGAUAUAGACAAGCAAUUAUAUUGUUGCUUAGGUACUCAAUCCGCAAUUUAAUAUUAUGCAUGUACAUUUGACCAAUUUAUAAAUGAACGAAGGUUUGCGAUUGGUGAGGGCAGAAACAUCUGUUUGCGCAGUAUCAUGUUCAUCAUUGGAAGUUCAAAACUGGUGAAGGCAGAAACAUUUCAGAUUCAAAAGAAAUGGUGAGGGCAACAACAUCUUUUUGUAAGGAGGAGAUGUGGUGCUCAUAUAUGCUUCAAACUGAGUAUGAUAAAAUACCUACAGUUUGAAAAAUAUCUGUAGUCUACCAUAUGGAGCAAGGUGUUACAGGAAAAUUGGGUAAACCCAUUAUAAAGAACGGUUUAAGGAAACUGGCCGGAUCUACCAUUGUAAAGUAUAAAAAGGUGAAUGUCUUUCCAUUUAACAAUUGUGUUUUUGUUUUUUUAUAUAACCCACCAUGUUCCCUACUUAAAUAAUAUUUGGUUGCGCAACCAUAUCAUGUACGAAAAUAGAGGAGUUAGAUGUAACACUUAUAGGGGACCACGAAUAUCGAUAAAUUGUCAUGGAAGAUCACUCACGGGCUAUCAUAGAGUUUUAAAACACUAAACUGGAGUCAUAGAUAAAGUUUAGUUGUUGGCCGGUGUUAUACGUUGAUACCAGUUCUUGACCAGGUUACUAGCUCAGUUAUUAUUUAUGCCAUAUGAGGCCAUUAAUCUGAAUAUAAAGAUAUCAGAAACAACUCUUGAUUUGAAGGUAAAGAGGGUUUUCAGAAGAAGAAGAAGAAAAAGAAUAUAAGGAAAUUUAGAUUUAGUUUUUCAUAAAAAUAAAACAGAUAACAGUUUGUGGUUAUAAACACAUCACCGACUCACAAAUUUUGAAUAUCGAUGUCUUUAUCACAAUGCACUCAAAUAUAUGAUAUAAGAUUGGUAAUUUAAUCUCUCUUACUAACUUUUUUUUUUACUGUACUCGCAUGAUUAGAUAUUUUUGUGAUGGCUCUUCAGCCUUUUGUUUUGUUGAGUUCCAGGUUUUCCAUCAUUCUAACCUGGUUUAGAUGGCGCAAUGCCUUCAGACUUAUGGAGGUAUCAUUGUUACGACUUGGGAAUGCCCACUUCUGCAGAACAAGAACGAUGGGUAAAUGAUUUCGAAUUGAAUCUCCUUGGUGAUGUAGCAGUUUAAACUCAGCAUGACAUUUUGCUUGAUGUGGUAUAUAUGCUCUAAGGUCACCAAGAGAUAAAGCUGUCUUGCUCUGUAUACACCACAUUAUAUUUGGAAAAAAAGAACACAUCUGUCACUUCAUGGUGAAAGGGAGAUGGCAUGUAACAAAAAGUGUAUUUAAAUUGUGGAAAUGACGAGUUUGAAUGUGAUGCGAAUAAUUAUAUGUGAUACUUAACUUGA